This 3573-nucleotide long non-coding RNA is filed under the name Homo sapiens (human). RNAcentral's name for it is "non-protein coding LINC00240:7". The record is from RNAcentral. Lineage: Eukaryota; Metazoa; Chordata; Mammalia; Primates; Hominidae.
CAAAAUAGCAUUACUUGAAGUGCCUUUCCCCCUGUAAUCCGACUCCAUCGUCUUUAACGUGUUUGGAAUUGUGUACACAGUUUAUUGUUAUUGGUUUCCUUAGCCUUUUUAGAACCAAGCAACGCCAAUUACCAACAAAAUCCGUUGCGCCGCAGUGAGUUAGCUACCUUCUAUCUCCACUUUGUUCUGCACGUCGAUCUCAGGUAAAGAACAUCAUCUCUUUACAUCCUUCUUUCCACUUUGUUCUUAGGAUCAUCGAUCAUCGUUCCUCGGGGAGCCCCUGGCACAUACUUAGUGCUAAGAAACUCCCAUCAGGUGAUAAGCAUUGAACUCCAUUUAAGGAAACUCAAAAGUGGGAAAUAGUAAAAGGUUCCUGUCUGAUUAAAGCUCUGAUUGGGAGGGGUGUGGGGGGACUGAUUUCUGACAACAGUGUCCCCUCCAGUAUUUUUCCCCCACUUAAUUUUACCCUGAUAAAAAUCAACAGUCAUGGAAGAUCUAGCAGCUUCUAUCAACUGAGAAACAGCACCUGGUGUCCUCAGGCAUUCAAUUACCUGGACUUGGAAAAGGAUGAGUGAUAAUAGACCCAGAAACCUGAAAUCUUUAGAACAGCAUUACAAGAAUAAGCAUAUUGUUGUGGCUGAGGUGGGUAGGAAGUAGAUAGGGAUUUUGACUUUAAAAUAGGCUUCCUCUCCCUAUGACACCUGCAGUUUGCCUGGACAUAGCUUUUAUCAUAUGCUUCCCAACUCUUCAGCAAGAGAGGGAAUUGAACUGAGUAAUUGGGAGUUGUUUUCCUAGCUAUAAAGAUUGCCACAAAUCUGAAAGCACAUGUGUCCCACUUGGGACACGGAGGUGAGUGGAAUUAAGCUGAGCACAGAUAACUCUCUCUUGAGAUCUGUAUUCCUAAAUGGGUCUUGCAUGUAUCUGGACAUUGUCCACUCACAGACUCUCUCCUGAGAAAGGUUAGCGAGGUCCCGUUCAGGAAUGCACCAGAUGAUAAUAAAGUGAACACCUUCUCACUUUGUAGCUCUUGCUAAGCCACUGGAGUACCUUAAAAGCUAUCAAAGCAUAAUCUUCAAAUAUAUAUAUAGUAACUAAUCACCAAAUAUUUAUUUAAGUCACUAAUGAGAAAAGGAGGAGUAUGGUAAACUGAUUGCAAUGGCAAUAGAAAAGGCUGGUAAAGGUAUAGUCAGUGGGGGAAAAAUAAUGCUGACAUGAGAUUGCAAGUUUAAGUAAAAAACUAGCUAAUGUCCUAUGAGGCAGUGAAAACUAUGGCCUUUGGGAUUAUUUUUAUCUAAAAGACAGAAACUAGUUGCAUCUUUACUGGGUAAAAAUCAUUCAAAACUUAAUAUUCUACAUAAUGACAUUUAACCUUGUAAUCUAUUUUCUAAUCAUUAGUAAAUAGUGACCUCCAAAAGUUCCAUUAACUUAGAGGAUUACUUGCCCCUUCAGUGGGCUUGUUAGACAAUGCUCUAGUAUUAUUUUGAAAGAGUACUAAUAUCUUUUUUUUUUGCCUUAUAUUAACUUUUGGAUAUUUUUUCUGAAUAGAUUUAGCACCUUAAUUCAAUUAUUUUAUCUCUGUUCCUGAUCAGUUGAAGGUAUUAUUGAGUGUCUUCAGACAGUGUUUAAAAAAUGGUGACCUUUGCCAUAAAGAAUUUUUGUGAACUGGCUUAAGCCAGUUUUGUGAUACACAACUUUGGGUGCUUUUGGUAGAUGUCUGUAGGCAGCUUACUUUAUAGUACUUUAUACUAUACCUUACUUUAUAGUAUAAAGUAAGGGAUAGUUAGCUACAACAUACCAACGAGUUAUAGUGAUAGAAGAUCUUCAACAAAAUUUUGUACAUAUAUAGUCAUUUAUUAGAAAGCAAGCAAAAAACAGUCAUAAAACCUGUUCUCUAAGCUCAAUGAAGUUCCCACGGUUUUGUCAUUUGUUUUUGUUGUUGUCAUUGUUGUUUUACUAACUUCAAAACUACCUUUCAUGAAAGCUUUGCUUGAGGCAAAUGCAACAAUAUUUCAGAGUGAGGAUUCAGCCAAACAUCUCUAAGAAGAAAACCUCUGGACACAGCAGGACACAGAAAUACUGAAAUCUCCAGCCUAGGGCACCAUCCCUCAAGUUAAAGGCUAGAACUCAUUUAAUUUUUAUUCCCUUUGAACAGUGUCUCUUAAAUAUUUAAUUCAUUUUGGGAACCGCUAAUUUACCCAGGGAGACUAUAUUUCUAAUAUUUUUUUCCCUUCACACCAUGGGAUCUUUGUUUCUAAUAUAUUAAUUAACUAAUUAACAAGGACAAAUUUCAUCAAAGAAAACCAGUAUCCAAUAUUCCAUUAUACUAAUUAUGGCAGCCUCUGGUGUUUAUCAAAAAUAAAGAAAACUGAAGUACUUUUGGUGGCCACUUCAGCAGUGUGGUUUUAUUAUGUUAAAUGACAAUCCUCCAGAUUGUGAUAUCAGGGCAAGGGACUGACUCUAGAAUCAUUUAAAAUCAUUUUAAUAUACACAUUCGUAUUAUACAGCACAGUUGAUUAAAUUAUUGCUCCUUCUCUAUAUCCACACCCUUUUUGUGGGUGGAGAGUUUGUCUUCACUUGUGGUAGACUGGAUUCCUGAAAAUGACUGAAACAGUAUCCCUCGUUCCCUUCUGCAAUGUGAGCUUGGCACCUCCUCAGCUAGAAGUAGAGUCUGUUUCCCUUCACCUUGAAUUUGGUUUGGGUUUGUAACUACUGUGAGCAAUGGAAUGCAGUAAAAAUAACAUUUUGUGAUUUCUCAGCCCAGGCAGUAAGAAAACAUAUCAGCUUCCACUUUUACCUUUAAGGAGAAGCCAGCUCCCAUGUUAAGAAGUUCAAAUACCUAGAGACUGCGAUGGUUUGCAGAGGCUCAAGCUAACCACAUGGAAAGACAUGGAGAGAUAUUCCUUGCCAACCCUCAACUACUCCAACUAUUCUAAGACAUCAAACCUGUGAGUGAAAAAGCCAUCUCAUACCUUACAACUCUAGCAGAUGCCACAUAGUGUAGAGAUAAGCUCUCUCUGUCAUUCUCUGUCAAAAUUGUAAAAUCAUAAGCAAAUAAAUAAUCACAGUUGCUUCAAGUUACUACAUUUGAGCAUAGUAUUUUAAGCCACUGCAUUUGAGAUGGUUUGUUAUACAGCAAUAGAUAACUAAAAAACAAAGUCCCUUGAUUUAGACUUGUCCACUCAACUUGCUUGGCCAAUGGAAUGGGGUAGAAGUGAUGGUGUGCUUAUUCCCAGCCUGGGCCUUAAAAGGCUUUGCCUAUUUCCACUUGCCUUCUUGUACUUCUGCUAUUGUCAUAAGAAAAACAAACCGCAGGUCACCCACCGGUCUGAAGAGGAGGAUGAGAGACAAAGAAAAAAGUUGUCUGGCUGCCUCUGCUGUCUACAGAUUGAAGAAGAUCCAUCCAGCUGAGCCCAGCCUAGACCAGCUGACUUCUCCAAUAAGCCUGUAUGAAAUAAAUGCUUAUUGUUAUGUGACCUUGAGCUUUGAAGAUAGUUUGUUAUGCAAUAAUUGUUGAUUCUUUCACCCUGUCUUUGUUGAACUGUUAUAGACGUCUUAAUAGGAGUUCACAAUUCA